GGACUACUCGGGUUUCUAAUCCCGUUCGCUCCCCAUGCUGUCGUGUCUGAAUGUCAGAACCGGGCCAGGACGCCGCCUUCGCCUCAGGGGUUCCUCCGGAUCUCUACGCAUUUCACCACUACACCCGGAAUUCCACGUCCCUCUCCCGUUCUCUAGAACAGCAGUCUGGCAUAACCCCGCCCGGUUGAGCCGAGCGAUUUCAUACACCACUUACUGCCCCAUCUGCACACGCUUUACGCCCAGUAAAUCCGGAUAACGCUCGCCACCUACGUUUUACCGCGGCUGCUGGCAC
This 292-nucleotide ribosomal RNA is filed under the name uncultured bacterium. RNAcentral's name for it is "partial 16S ribosomal RNA". The record is from RNAcentral.